AAGUGAUGGUUAUGUUAAUUAGCUUGAUUUAAUCAUUUCGUCUCUCUACUUCAACCUCUGAAAUCUUACCUUGGUCCCUCCCUCUAAGAGGCAUGUAAAUGGAACAGGGACUGCAAAGGACUUCUCUUUGUUCUUAGCUCUCCCCUGAGGGCAAGCACAUUUUUGCAACACAGGUUAGGCUCUCUUUUGCCUUUCCAGGAAUGUGCACAUACACGUGCAUAUACACACACAUACACUCACACAUUUGUGACUUUCUAUUUACUUAUGUCGCUCUUUAAAGAUAAACUUCCGGAAAAGAACAAUGCAAUCAUACUCAAAUCUCUAGCACCCAGCACUUGAUAACUAGGAGGAACUUAACCAAUAUUUAUUGAACGAAUGCUUAAUAAAUGUGUCCUCCAAAAAAUUCUAAGAUAAGAAAGAAUAUAAGACAGGCAGGCAUUCCUGAAACAAGUACUAUAAUUGAGUGCUAAGUUAUAAAAGUGAUUAUAGGAAGUGC
RNAcentral lists this long non-coding RNA (496 nucleotides) under Homo sapiens (human). Its description in RNAcentral is "non-protein coding lnc-DDX18-5:1". Lineage: Eukaryota; Metazoa; Chordata; Mammalia; Primates; Hominidae. The record is from RNAcentral.